ACUAUUCUGGAUCGCGUCGGUGCAAGGAUCGGGAAAUAUACGAACCAGGCGGCUACGUGCGCUAUGAAAACUGCAGCUUUCCUUUUUGCGGUAUUUUUAUCGGUGACCUAUGUCCAGAGAUGUCACGCACGCCUUCCGGUGAUGUUCUGCGAUUCUGUGAAGUGUCACCAACUGUGCAUCGACAUCCAUGGCCCGUACGCCUUCGGCUACUGCAAGGCUGACAGGUGUGCAUGUCGCGACGAUAUAGUGAAGCGUAUUGCAUUAUUAUCCUGAUUAAUAAAGUCACCGCUGUAAACCAAAGCUUCAAGACGCCUUAU
Molecule: long non-coding RNA, 317 nt
Organism: Ornithodoros turicata
Lineage: Eukaryota; Metazoa; Arthropoda; Arachnida; Ixodida; Argasidae
Exons: 3
Source: RefSeq, a predicted model, not a curated record